Molecule: transfer RNA, 74 nt
Filed under: Deltaproteobacteria bacterium
Lineage: Bacteria; Pseudomonadati; Myxococcota; Myxococcia
Description: tRNA-Asn
Rfam family: tRNA
About the family: Transfer RNA (tRNA) molecules are approximately 80 nucleotides in length. Their secondary structure includes four short double-helical elements and three loops (D, anti-codon, and T loops).
Source: RNAcentral
UCCGCAGUAGCUCAGCAGGUUAGAGCGGCUGGCUGUUAACCAGCAAGUCGGGGGUUCGAAUCCCUCCUGCGGAG